This 479-nucleotide ribosomal RNA is filed under the name uncultured bacterium. RNAcentral's name for it is "partial 16S ribosomal RNA". It matches the Rfam family "Bacterial small subunit ribosomal RNA", at positions 28 to 507 of the family's 1533-position model. The record is from RNAcentral.
GAUGAACGCUAGCGGGAGGCCUAACACAUGCAAGCCGAGCGGUAUUUGUUCUUCGGAACAGAGAGAGCGGCGCACGGGUGCGGAACACGUGUGCAACCUGCCUUUAUCUGGGGGAUAGCCUUUCGAAAGGAAGAUUAAUACCCCAUAAUAUAUUGAGUGGCAUCAUUUGAUAUUGAAAACUCCGGUGGAUAGAGAUGGGCACGCGCAAGAUUAGAUAGUUGGUGAGGUAACGGCUCACCAAGUCAAUGAUCUUUAGGGGGCCUGAGAGGGUGAUCCCCCACACUGGUACUGAGACACGGACCAGACUCCUACGGGAGGCAGCAGUGAGGAAGAUUGGACAAUGGGUUAGCGCCUGAUCCAGCCAUCCCGCGUGAAGGACGACGGCCCUAUGGGUUGUAAACUUCUUUUGUAUAGGGAUAAACCUACUCUCGUGAGAGUAGCUGAAGGUACUAUACGAAUAAGCACCGGCUAACUCCGUG